This 132-nucleotide small RNA is filed under the name Escherichia coli. RNAcentral describes it as "RtT sRNA". It matches the Rfam family "RtT RNA". From Rfam's summary of the family: This family represents a bacterial cis-regulatory element known as RtT RNA. The exact function of RtT is unknown although it is thought that it may be involved in changing the cellular response in relation to amino acid starvation. Lineage: Bacteria; Pseudomonadati; Pseudomonadota; Gammaproteobacteria; Enterobacterales; Enterobacteriaceae. RNAcentral also lists the same sequence under 1 other name. The record is from RNAcentral.
GUUUGCACUCAUCGGGGAAGGGUGAGAACCUUCGACUAAGGUUCGACUCGAGCGAAAGCGAGAGAACGUUGCCACAGGCAACGGCCCGAAGGGUGAGGAGCGAAGCGACGAAUAAUCCUUCCCCCACCAACA